RNAcentral lists this small RNA (1145 nucleotides) under Pan troglodytes (chimpanzee). RNAcentral's name for it is "retained intron". The record is from RNAcentral. Lineage: Eukaryota; Metazoa; Chordata; Mammalia; Primates; Hominidae.
AAAAAGUCCAAGGGAGCAAGCUUGGAGGAAACGCUGGGUUCAACUUGAAGCCCUUCCACAGACAUUAAGUCGGUGAAAACCAUUCACUAGGAGAGGAGAAACACAAUGGCCACCAAGACAGAGUUGAGUCCCACAGCAAGGGAGAGCAAGAACGCACAAGAUGUGCAAGUGGAUGAGACACUGAUCCCCAGGAAAGUUCCAAGUUUAUGUUCUGCUCGCUAUGGAAUAGCCCUCGUCUUACAUUUCUGCAAUUUCACAACGAUAGCACAAAAUGUCAUCAUGAACAUCACCAUGGUAGCCAUGGUCAACAGCACAAGCCCUCAAUCCCAGCUCAAUGACUCCUCUGAGGGGCUGCCUGUUGACUCAUUUGGUGGCCUAAGUAAAGCCCCAAAGAGUCUUCCUGCAAAGUCCUCAAUACUUGGGGGUCAGUUUGCAAUUUGGGAAAAGUGGGGCCCUCCACAAGAACGAAGCAGACUCUGCAGCAUUGCUUUAUCAGGAAUGUUACUGGGAUGCUUUACUGCCAUCCUCAUAGGUGGCUUCAUUAGUGAAACCCUUGGGUGGCCCUUUGUCUUCUAUAUCUUUGGAGGUGUUGGCUGUGUCUGCUGCCUUCUCUGGUUUGUUGUGAUUUAUGAUGACCCCGUUUCCUAUCCAUGGAUAAGCACCUCAGAAAAAGAAUACAUCAUAUCCUCCUUGAAACAACAGGUCAGGUCUUCUAAGCAGCCUCUUCCCAUCAAAGCUAUGCUCAGAUCUCUACCCAUUUGGUCCAUAUGUUUAGGCUGUUUCAGCCAUCAAUGGUUACUUAGCACGAUGGUUGUAUACAUACCAACUUACAUCAGCUCUGUGUACCAUGUUAACAUCAGAGACGUGAGUAUGUUUCCUUCCCUUCCUUUCUCCUGCUUGCAUGGCUGACCAAUUACUCUGCCCUCACUAAUCAUUCCAUCUGAGAAAUGUAUUUCUUAUUACCAAAAAUAAUCUAAUAUUUAAUACUCAUGCCAGUAGCUUUUCUGGGGUAUGAUUUAAGAGGUUACUGAUUUUCCUAAGAAAGUAUGAUUUCAGAAUGUCAUUAUUAUUAGUAGUAAUUUAUCAACAAAAGUUGUGGUCUCACUGCCUUUAUUAUGGCAAUUUACUCAAUCUUUUCUCUUUAG